GUAAAAUCCUCAUGCUGGUAUUAAUCAUCUAAUGUAUUAUCAUUCAUCAGUCACAGGGGGCCGAUUUUCUGCACAAUAAGCACUUUUUCUUUUAAUACUUUAAGUACAUUUGGCACAUUAUCCCUCUGUACUUUUACUUAAACAGGAUUUAAAGUGCAGGACCUUCAAAGAAUAUACGUUUCUUUCUCGGAAAGGUUCUUUUUCCUUUUCUUCUAAAACCUGGUUGCGAGCAUUAUUAAAUCUAAAAGACCAGAGAAAGGUUAAGAGGUCGAAAGUAGACAUGGAUUCACGAUGAUGUGAAGACCCGUAAGAAUUUGCUGUUGUCCUUUUAGAACAAGAGGGGGGGCUUAAACCCAUCACAAGUCCUUGAACGGAGAUUAGAAGCUAAUAGAAUUCCCCUUCAUGUCCUCGUUACUUAGCGGGUUGCUUUGGAGGGAUGUUCCACAGUCGCUGCACAGCUGGUUUAUAGGUGCCAGCAGCCGAGCAGCUGUUCAACCUGCGACAAGAGUCGCACGGCGCGUUGCGUCGGACUCGAUUGCUUUUAGUGUCCCGCCCCCCCCCCCGAAACGGUAAAUCCGGACUCUCGUAACAAGCAGAUCAAUACGGGUAAAUAAAGACAGAAGAGCGCGUGACACCAUUGCAGCCGGGCGGCAAGGAUCACGCACACGAGCAGAACCGGCACACUGCGCCUCUCCAGCUGAGAAAAUAAAGCAUUUGGCUACACAUAUGUUCAUGUGUGUGUCACGUGAUCCCGCUGACGGCUUCGUACAUCCACUCAUCUGAUGGUCGACGGAGGGAAACACACACGAAUCUGUGUCUGAGAACAGAUGAAAAAGUGGAUCUUUGGGAAUAACGCCUUUUCAUUCGAGAUGAAUUUCCCCGAGUGAAUUAUCGCGGCUGCGGAGACGAUGAAACGUCUUAAGCAACAGAGGAAGAAGAAUUAGACGCGUCGUGUAAUUCAAGUGAGCAACUUUAGGUAAAACAAAUAAUCGAUCCCAAUUAACCAAACAGGUUUUUUUUUCUGUGCAAAAUGUCUAAAACAAAAAAGGUGCAAAGGUUGAUUUAGGCUCAGGUCACCGGGCUCAGUCCCAUCCACCCCCCUCGGCCUCGACCAGGGUUAAUUGAUUGAUUGAUUCCAACAGCUCGAGAUUAAAGCUGAGAACCGGCACUUUAACAUUACAGUAAUGGUCCACAUCGAUCUGACUGCGCUGGCUUCGAUUUCCGCGUCAGGUGGAAUGUUCCAAACAGAACUGUUAAUUCAUUAAUCAGCAUUAGCUCAGUGAGGCUUUUAAAAGUCCCGUGUUGAUGAAUGAAUAUUUAGAUCAGGGACGACAAAACAAGGCAGAGGAAACGAAGUGGAAGCUUCUGAAAACACUUCCGUUUUUUUCCUUUCGCAUUUUUCCUCUGCCGUAUUCCUUCCCGAGGAACAUGAGAUUGGGCAAACUACUGCUGUGAGCAAACAAAGCAAACAAACAGCACAGUCAGUCCUCGUUGUGACUUAGCGGUGAUGGAUGACGCUGUGCUCUGAAAACACAGUAGCAACUAUUCUCCGUUGUUGCAGAGGCUGUUCCUGCAAAUUAAGGAGGGAAGUGACGGACACUCGAAGUGAGCCGCAGACCGUCUCAUCGACAGCGUUGGAUCCGCAUUAAAUCCGCUUCAUCGUCUGCAGAGAACGCAGCGGCUAAAUUCAGAAUUUGAGCAGUCUUCCCUUUCCUAUCCGAAGGGGAAGUAUUCAUAGUGGCGACACCCGAUGGCUAGCUGCUAUACUUUGGGACACGGUGCUCCAGAGAACUCCGACUAAAUCACCGAAAAGUCCCGAAAUCUGUGCGGCGUAUUCAGAAUACGUCAAACCCAUGAAGAUGGUUUGUUUGUGCGAUGGAAAAAAAACAACAACGCUGCAAUCCUUUACCGCCAGAAACCAACCGAUUACGCCUGUCAGAGCGCCAUCAGCCCACGUGUUGUGUGCACGGCGCCGGUUUGACAGGAGCGAAUCCUUUAAGUGCUUCGUCCGGCCGC
Molecule: long non-coding RNA, 2016 nt
Organism: Gasterosteus aculeatus aculeatus (three-spined stickleback)
Lineage: Eukaryota; Metazoa; Chordata; Actinopteri; Perciformes; Gasterosteidae
Source: Ensembl